CCUGACUGCUAUCGGAUUGAUACUAAGCCAUGCGAGUCAUUGUAGCAAUACAAGGCAGACGGCUCAGUAACGCGUAGUCAACCUACCCUAUGGACGGGAAUAACCUCGGGAAACUGAGUAUAAUGCCCGAUAGAACAUUAUGCCUGGAAUGGUUUAUGUUCCAAAUGAUUUAUCGCCGUAGGAUGGGACUGCGUCCUAUCAGUUUGUUGGUGAGGUAAUGGCCCACCAAGACUAUUACAGGUACGGGCUCUGAGAGGAGUAGCCCGGAGAUGGGUACUGAGACACGGACCCAGGCCCUAUGGGGCGCAGCAGGCGAGAAAACUUUGCAAUGUGCGAAAGCACGACAAGGUUAAUCCGAGUGGUUUCUGCUAAAGGAACCUUUUGUUAGUCCUAAAAACACUAACGAAUAAGGGGUGGGCAAGUUCUGGUGUCAGCCGCCGCGGUAAAACCAGCACCUCAAGUGGUCAGGAUGAUUAUUGGGCCUAAAGCAUCCGUAGCCUGCCCUGUAAGUUUUCGGUUAAAUCUGUAUGCUCAACAUACAGGCCGCCGGGAAUACUGCAGGGCUAGGGAGUGGGAGAGGUAGACGGUACUCGGGAGGAAGUGGUAAAAUGCUUUGAUCUCUCGAUGACCACCUGUGGCGAAGGCGGUCUACCAGAACACGUCCGACGGUGAGGGAUGAAAGCUGGGGGAGCAAACCGGAUUAGAUACCCGGGUAGUCCCAGCCGUAAACUAUGCAAACUCAGUGAUGCAUUGGCUUGUGGCCAAUGCAGUGUUGCAGGGAAGCCGUUAAGUUUGCCGCCUGGGAAGUACGUACGCAAGUAUGAAACUUAAAGGAAUUGGCGGGGGAGCACCACAAGGGGUGAAGCCUGCGGUUC
Molecule: ribosomal RNA, 875 nt
Filed under: uncultured Nitrososphaerota archaeon
Lineage: Archaea; Thermoproteati; Nitrososphaerota
Description: bacterial SSU rRNA
Rfam family: Archaeal small subunit ribosomal RNA
Source: RNAcentral